Molecule: long non-coding RNA, 1136 nt
Filed under: Salvia miltiorrhiza (redroot sage)
Lineage: Eukaryota; Viridiplantae; Streptophyta; Magnoliopsida; Lamiales; Lamiaceae
Description: long non-coding RNA (SMIL_LNC005382)
Source: RNAcentral
UUUUUUUAAUUAAAAUGGGGUCUAGUAUCAUGAUCCACUAAAAUUCAAACAGUCCUUAACUCGGCCCAAAUAAAAAUUGGACUCUUAUUUGAAAAUUAUUAAAAGAAAUUGAAAGGAUAUUUCUAGUUUUCAAAUAAACAAUGAGAAAUUCUAUGCAUACACGUGUCAAUUAUUUUUUUCACUAUAGCCGCAUUAAUGAUUGAACUAAAAAUAUACUCCACUGUUUUUCAUUUUCAAACCUUGCUACUCCGCCUACUUUCUAACUUGAAAAAAAAAGAGAGAAAAAGAAAAAAAGAAAAAGAAGCCCCAAUUUGUAAUGUUGGUGUCAAAAAAUGUGAAGUAAUAGACAUACAAUUAAAACUACAGAAGAAAUUAAAAGCACUUAGAAAUUUAUAAUAAUAGAAUGGCAUCAAAUUUUAUUACCAAAAUCACGACUACAUCCAUUCCAAAUUCCACAUGAAAUUAGGCAUUUUCAUUUAAGAACGAUGUGGUGGAGGAGGAUCGUGACGCGGAUUGGGCCCAACAGGGGGAUAAUCAGCAAUUGUCGCCAAAUCCAAUUCUUCAUUAGAUUCCCUUCUAACAUCAUCAUCUAUCUCCUACCCCAAAAAAAAAAACCCUACAGAUUUUAGUUAUCAGAAGUUAAUAGCUGUUAAUUCCACCAAAAUGUUAAAAAUAGAAGAAAAUAAGAUAUGAACCUGAGAGUGGUUUUGCAUGGCUACAUCUUCAUGGUUUAGAUUUGGUAUGCGAAGUGCAGAGGUUGAGAGAAUUUGAGAGCACAGUAAAAUAGCUACAAGAGUAGAGAGACAGAUUAUUUGGGUUGUUUUCAUUGUGAAAAUAUAUGGAGAGAAAACAAAUGUUUGGGCAAUACAUAUAUAUAUACAUAAUAUAAUAGGGGAGGGAGAGAGAGAGAGAGACGUCAUCAGUCACUUAACUCGUAACGCUCCAUCAGUAGUGUGAAAGGAAAGGAUUAAUCCUUAUCUGCAUUUCUCGACAUAGCUAUGUUGAUUGUUGACCUUGUACAGAUCAGUUUAAUUUGACAAAGAAAGUUUGUGUCAAGAAAGUAAUUUCUCAACGCAUCACAACAAAAUUACGGAUGAAUAUAAUUAUUAGAACAAUCAAUGCAUUAGUUGUCCGAA